This 435-nucleotide ribosomal RNA is filed under the name uncultured bacterium. RNAcentral's name for it is "bacterial SSU rRNA". It matches the Rfam family "Bacterial small subunit ribosomal RNA", at positions 29 to 510 of the family's 1533-position model. The record is from RNAcentral.
AACGAACGCUGGCGGCAUGCCUAACACAUGCAAGUCGAACGAACCCUUCGGGGUUAGUGGCGCACGGGUGCGUAACGCGUGGGAAUCUGCCCUUUGCUUCGGAAUAACAGUUAGAAAUGACUGCUAAUACCGGAUAAUGUCUUCGGACCAAAGAUUUAUCGGCAAAGGAUGAGCCCGCGUAGGAUUAGCUAGUUGGUGGGGGUAAAAGCUCACCAAGGCGACGAUCCUUAGCUGGUCUGAGAGGAUGAUCAGCCACACUGGGACUGAGACACGGCCCAGACUCCUACGGGAGGCAGCAGUGGGGAAUAUUGGACAAUGGGCGAAAGCCUGAUCCAGCAAUGCCGCGUGAGUGAUGAAGGCCUUAGGUUGUAAAGCUCUUUACCAGGGAUGAUAAUGACAGUACCUGGAGAAUAAGCUCCGGCUAACUCCGUGCCA